UUUUUGAGAUGGAGGAGUUUCACUCUUGUUGUCCAGGCUGGAGUACAAUGGCAUGAUCUCGGCUCACUGCAACCUCCACCUCCCGGGUUCAAGCGAUUCUCUUGCCUCAGCCUCCUGAGUAGCUGGGAUUACAAGUAUGUGCCACCACGCCCGGCUAAUUCUGUAUUUUUUUAGUAGAGACAGGGUUUCUCCAUGUUGGUAAGGCUGGUCUCAAACUCCCAACCUCAGGUGAUCUGCCCGCCUCGGCCUCCCAAAGUGCUGGGAUUACAGGCGUGAACCACCACGCCCAGCCAAUAUUACUUUUUUCAUGAAAAUGUGUUUUACCUCUCCUGUUAAACCACAAACUUCUGAGGGCCAGGUCUCCUCCUCUGGAAUUUUCCAAUGAAGCCUAAAAUAAGCCUAUGUAAGCUGUCGGAGCUCAGUUACUGCUGUAACUGCUAAUACAAAACCAAGGAAUAGGCCAGGUGUGAUGGCUCACACCUGUAAUCCCAACACUGUGGGGGACCAAGGCCUAGGAUCACUUGAGCCUAGAAGUUCAAGACCAGCCUGAGCAAUACAGUGAGACUCUGUCUCCAAAAAAAAAAAGAAAGCCAGGCAUGGUGGCGUGCACCUGUGGUCCCAGCUACUCAGAAGGCUGAGGCAGGAGCUAUGUGAUCAGAUGGAAAAGAAGACAGAGUUACAUAAAGAGUGUAAAGUGGGAGGCAGAGGCAGGAGGACCACUUGAGACCAGGAGUUCCAGGCUGCAGUAAGCUAUGAUUGCACCACCAUACUCCAGCCUGGGCAACAGAGUGAAACCCUAUCUGAAAAAAAAAAAAAAACACACACACACACACACAAGGAAUCUCAGGAGCUAGGAAGGCCCUCAGUAGUUCUGGUCCAUCAUUCUUCCCAUACUAAAAUUUUCCUCUCUGUGCUUUCAGUGACAGACAGCAUAGUGGUCAAAGCACCAGCUUUGGAGACAGAAGACCUGGAUUCAAAUUCCAGCUCCCUCACUUAGCAGCUGUAUGGCCUUAGGCAAGGUGCUUCACCUCUCUCAGCCUCAACAACUGCAUGUGUAUAAUUCAAACAAUCUUAAUAAAAAUUAAAAAGCCUGAGAGUAAAAUGAAACACUUAUAAAGUGCCUAGCACAGUCCCUGUAUACAGAAAAUGUUACACAAAUUUAGCUAGUACUAUAGAUUCUAUUUUCAAUUCCAUAGAUAAUUCUUAACUACCAGAAGGUCUAAUAGUAAGCCAAUAAUCAGGUUCUAAAAAAUGUUCCCUGAUACCUCAAGUCUACCUUCUGUUCAUCGGGGGGCACCCCAGGAUUCUCUAGCUAAAGUAAGCUAAGUAUUCCCAGUUCCCUUCCAUUCAAUACGUAUCACUGUUUCCCAGUCCUUCAAUAUCGUGGCUACCUGGUUCUGUACUUUGUCAGCAUAGCUAGAGUUUUGCACAUCUGCACCCUAACAGAGCAUAUAUACUCAUAGGCAUAAUGAGGGUUCCCUGUAUAUUUAUUUCUUCCAUCCUGCUCCAACUAUUACAAAGAAGGUUGACCACAGAAAAGAUUGACUGGAGAAGGCAAUGGGGAGAAGGUGGAACAUGUUAGAGUUGAUUACGCAGUGGUAAUGAGCAAAGGCUUUGGAACAUUCUUGGCAUUGAAUCCCAGCUCUGCCUCUUACUAGCUGGGCAGUCUCAGUUUUCUCAUCUAUUAAAUGAGAGUAACAACAAUAUCCAUCACAAUGUGUUGUGAGACUUAUAUGAUUCAAUAUAUGUAAAGUGCUUAAAAUAUACUAAAAUCUCAAUAAAUGUUAGACACAUACAUUAUUAUUAUUGCUAUUCACAUAUUUAAAGGGCUUAUUCUACCUUGCUCCAAAGGACAUAUCCAGAACCAGGCAAUAUAAGUUAAGGCCAUUCAGACAUUAAGUAAUCACUUUUUUUUUCUUUUUUUUUUGAGACAGAGUCACCCUGGCUGGGGUGCAAUGGCGCGAUCUCUGCUCCCUGCAGCCUCUGCCUCCCAGGUUCAAGUGAUGCUCCUGCCUCAGCCUCAUGAGUAGCUGGGAUUACAGGCGCUUGCCACCACGCCUGGCUA
RNAcentral lists this long non-coding RNA (2065 nucleotides) under Macaca fascicularis (crab-eating macaque). RNAcentral's name for it is "lncRNA (ENSMFAG00000065487.1)". The record is from RNAcentral. Lineage: Eukaryota; Metazoa; Chordata; Mammalia; Primates; Cercopithecidae.